GCUUACCAUGCAAGUCGAACGGGACUGCUAUGAAGGAGUUUUCGGACAACGGAUUAGUAGUUUAGUGGCGGACUGGUGAGUAACGCGUGAGGAACCUGCCUUUCAGAGGGGGACAACAGCUGGAAACGGCUGCUAAUACCGCAUGAUAUAUUUGAGUGGCAUCACUCGGAUAUCAAAGAUUUAUCGCUGAAGGAUGGCCUCGCGUCUGAUUAGCUAGUUGGUGAGGUAACGGCCCACCAAGGCGACGAUCAGUAGCCGGACUGAGAGGUUGACCGGCCACAUUGGGACUGAGAUACGGCCCAGACUCCUACGGGAGGCAGCAGUGGGGAAUAUUGGGCAAUGGGCGAAAGCCUGACCCAGCAACGCCGCGUGAAGGAAGAAGGCUUUCGGGUUGUAAACUUCUUUGACAGGGGAAGAGUAGAAGACGGUACCCUGAAAACAAGCCACGGCUAACUACGUGCCAGCAGCCGCGGUAAUACGUAGGUGGCAAGCGUUGUCCGGAUUUACUGGGUGUAAAGGGCGUGCAGCCGGGAAGGCAAGUCAGAUGUGAAAUCCGUGGGCUUAACCCACGAACUGCAUUUGAAACUGCUUUUCUUGAGUAUCGGAGAGGUAAUCGGAAUUCCUAGUGUAGCGGUGAAAUGCGUAGAUAUUAGGAAGAACACCAGUGGCGAAGGCGGAUUACUGGACGACAACUGACGGUGAGGCGCGAAAGCGUGGGGAGCAAACAGGAUUAGAUACCCUGGUAGUCCGCGCUGUAAACGAUCGAUACUAGGUGUGCGGGGACUGACCCCCUGCGUGCCGCAGUUAACACAAUAAGUAUCGCACCUGGGGAGUACGAUCGCAAGGUUGAAACUCAAAGGAAUUGACGGGGGCCCGCACAAGCGGUGGAUUAUGUGGUUUAAUUCGAAGCAACGCGAAGAACCUUACCAGGACUUGACAUCCUACUAACGAGGUAGAGAUACGUCAGUGCCCUUCGGGGAAAGUAGAGACAGGUGGUGCAUGGGUUGUCGUCAGCUCGUGUCGUGAGAUGUGGGG
RNAcentral lists this ribosomal RNA (1035 nucleotides) under bacterium enrichment culture clone aHCH7_A10. RNAcentral's name for it is "bacterial SSU rRNA". It matches the Rfam family "Bacterial small subunit ribosomal RNA", at positions 46 to 1079 of the family's 1533-position model. The record is from RNAcentral.